RNAcentral lists this ribosomal RNA (731 nucleotides) under uncultured bacterium. RNAcentral's name for it is "bacterial SSU rRNA". It matches the Rfam family "Bacterial small subunit ribosomal RNA", at positions 151 to 883 of the family's 1533-position model. The record is from RNAcentral.
GCGAAAGUAAGACUAAUACCCAAUGAUAUCUCUAGAAGGCAUCUGAAAGAGAUUAAAGAUUUAUCGGUGAUGGAUGGGGAUGCGUCUGAUUAGCUUGUUGGCGGGGUAACGGCCCACCAAGGCUACGAUCAGUAGGGGUUCUGAGAGGAAGGUCCCCCACAUUGGAACUGAGACACGGUCCAAACUCCUACGGAGGGCAGCAGUGAGGAAUAUUGGUCAAUGGACGAGAGUCUGAACCAGCCAAGUAGCGUGCAGGAUGACGGCCCUAUGGGUUGUAAACUGCUUUUAUAAGGGAAUAAAGUGAGUCUCGUGAGACUUUUUGCAUGUACCUUAUGAAUAAGGACCGGCUAAUUCCGUGCCAGCAGCCGCGGUAAUACGGAAGGUCCGGGCGUUAUCCGGAUUUAUUGGGUUUAAAGGGAGCGUAGGCCGGAGAUUAAGCGUGUUGUGAAAUGUAGACGCUCAACGUCUGCACUGCAGCGCGAACUGGUUUCCUUGAGUACGCACAAAGUGGGCGGAAUUCGUGGUGUAGCGGUGAAAUGCUUAGAUAUCACGAAGAACUCCGAUUGCGAAGGCAGCUCACUGGAGCGCAACUGACGCUGAAGCUCGAAAGUGCGGGUAUCGAACAGGAUUAGAUACCCUGGUAGUCCGCACGGUAAACGAUGGAUGCCCGCUGUUGGUCUGAAUAGGUCAGCGGCCAAGCGAAAGCAUUAAGCAUCCCACCUGGGGAGUAC